UACGGGGGGGGCAAGCGUUGUUCGGAAUUACUGGGCGUAAAGGGCGCGUAGGCGGCCGCCUAAGUCAGACGUGAAAUCCCUCGGCUCAACCGGGGAACUGCGUCUGAUACUGGGUGGCUUGAAUCCGGGAGAGGGAUGCGGAAUUCCAGGUGUAGCGGUGAAAUGCGUAGAGAUCCGGAGGAACACCAGAGGCGAAGGCGGCAACCUGGCUCGUAACUGACGCUCAUACACGACAGCAUGGGGAGCGAACGGG
RNAcentral lists this ribosomal RNA (253 nucleotides) under uncultured bacterium. RNAcentral's name for it is "partial 16S ribosomal RNA". It matches the Rfam family "Bacterial small subunit ribosomal RNA", at positions 524 to 776 of the family's 1533-position model. The record is from RNAcentral.